UGAGCUGUUUCUAAUCUCCCAAUGGAAGGCC
RNAcentral lists this non-coding RNA (31 nucleotides) under Mus musculus (house mouse). The record is from RNAcentral. Lineage: Eukaryota; Metazoa; Chordata; Mammalia; Rodentia; Muridae.